RNAcentral lists this ribosomal RNA (254 nucleotides) under uncultured bacterium. RNAcentral describes it as "partial 16S ribosomal RNA". It matches the Rfam family "Bacterial small subunit ribosomal RNA", at positions 524 to 776 of the family's 1533-position model. The record is from RNAcentral.
GACGUAGGGAGCAAGCGUUGUCCGGAUUUACUGGGCGUAAAGAGCACGUAGGCGGCUUGUUAAGUGAGAGGUGAAAUCCCCAGCGCUCAACGCGGGAACUGCCUCUCAUACUGGCAGGCUUGAGGGAUGUAGAGGUGACUAGAAUUCCAGGUGUAGCGGUGACAUGCAUUGAUAUCUGGAGGAAUACCCGAGGCGAAGGCGGGUCACUGGACAUUUCCUGACGCUGAGGUGCGAAAGCGUGGGUAGCAAACAGA